AGCGGCGGACGGGUUAGUAACGCGUGGGAAUAUGCCCAAAGGUACGGAAUAGCCUCUGGAAACGGAGAGUAAUACCGUAUGUGCCCUUCGGGGGAAAGAUUUAUCGCCUUUGGAUUAGCCCGCGUUGGAUUAGGUAGUUGGUGGGGUAAUGGCCUACCAAGCCUACGAUCCAUAGCUGGUUUGAGAGGAUGAUCAGCAACACUGGGACUGAGACACGGCCCAGACUCCUACGGGAGGCAGCAGUAGGGAAUCUUAGACAAUGGGCGAAAGCCUGAUCUAGCCAUGCCGCGUGAGUGAAGAAGGCCCUAGGGUCGUAAAGCUCUUUCGCCAGGGAUGAUAAUGACAGUACCUGGUAAAGAAACCCCGGCUAACUCCGUGCCAGCAGCCGCGGUAAUACGGAGGGGGUUAGCGUUGUUCGGAAUUACUGGGCGUAAAGCGUACGUAGGCGGAUUAGUCAGUCAGAGGUGAAAUCCCAGGGCUCAACCCUGGAACUGCCUUUGAUACUGCUAGUCUUGAGUUCGAGAGAGGUGAGUGGAAUUCCAAGUGUAGAGGUGAAAUUCGUAGAUAUUUGGAGGAACACCAGUGGCGAACGCGGCUCACUGGCUCGAUACUGACGCUGAGGUACGAAAGUGUGGGGAGCAAACAGGAUUAGAUACCCUGGUAGUCCACACCGA
This 674-nucleotide ribosomal RNA is filed under the name uncultured bacterium. Its description in RNAcentral is "bacterial SSU rRNA". It matches the Rfam family "Bacterial small subunit ribosomal RNA", at positions 94 to 803 of the family's 1533-position model. The record is from RNAcentral.